RNAcentral lists this long non-coding RNA (1717 nucleotides) under Macaca fascicularis (crab-eating macaque). RNAcentral's name for it is "lncRNA (ENSMFAG00000053345.1)". The record is from RNAcentral. Lineage: Eukaryota; Metazoa; Chordata; Mammalia; Primates; Cercopithecidae.
UUUUUUUUUUUUUUUUUGAGACGGAGUCUCGCUCUGCCGCCAGGCUGGAGUGCAGUGGCCGGAUCUCAGCUCACUGCAAGCUCCGCCUCCUGGGUUCACAUCAUUCUCCUGCCUCAGCCUCCAGAGCAGCUGGGACCACAGGCGCCGCCACCUCGCCCGGCUAGUUUUUUGUAUUUUUAGUAGAGACGGGGUUUCACCGUGUUAGCCAGGAUGGUCUCGAUCUCCUGACCUCGUGAUCCGCCCAUCUCGGCCUCCCGAAGUGCUGGGAUUACAGGCUUGAGCCACCGCGCCCGGCCGCAAGGGGAUAUUUUUAAAAGUCCCCACAUGGAUGACAAUCAGGUCACAUACAUUCUGGGAAUGGAGACUCCAUGGAAGGAGCAGGGUCUUGCAGCAAGGAGGGUUUAGAUAGAGGGAGGGAGGGAGGAGGGCCAGUCCAGGCCCUAGGGAUAGAAGAAGCCACGGCAAGGUAACGGGCAGCUUGGUUUUCCAAUUACGCAGCCAAACCUAAAAAAAAAAAAAGACGUCACUUUUGAUAUCUGCUCCACACGGGAACGUGAACUUUUUCCUCCGGCUGGGUUACGGGCCCCAGAGCCCGAGAAGCCAGCCUCGGAUGCAUGUGGCUCCAGUUAUGUUUUAGAUCAGCCACAAAUAGCCCUUGCUUUGUACAGGGCCGUGACCCCGCCGAGCCAUCAUCAUCACUGGAAUGCCUCAGAGGCCAAGGGAAACACAUGGAGCCGCCAGAGCCGUUGCAAAAUCGAUCCAAAAUCCAGCGAGCGGGGGAGGAGCGCCUGACUCAGCCAUGGUAAGCUCGCCUGCCAAAGUCUUCUGGUACCUGGACCACGCUGGAAGACGCUUCUGGAUCCCAUUCUUUCUGCGAACCUUCCCCACCGAAAGCCAUUUUCCUUACCCCCACUAGAAAACAGAAAAGUGUACCCAGGAGGUACCCACCAGGGGGUGAUAAGAAAAGCCACACAUCUUGUUUCUAGGCUAUCAAGAGCAGGGCGGAAGCAGCAUCAGACGACAAAAAAAAAAAAAAAAAAAGCGCUGGGUGUGGAGUCCAAAGAUUUAUGCCCUGCCUUGGCCAUUGACUUACUGUAUGAACCUGGCCUGGUGCCCAAGCCAUUCCAGCAUCUGCUUCUUUAUCUUUGAAGUGAGAAUACUAAUACUGCCUACGUCACAAGGCUGUUGUGAGGCUCAAAUGAUGGAUGAGAAAAUUCACUGUCAAUUUUAAAGCAUUAUACACAUUUCAGUGGUUAUUUUUUUUUUUUAGAUGGAAUUUCACUCUUGUUGCCCAGGCUGAAGUGCAGUGGCGUGAUCUCGGCUCACGGUAGCCUCUGCCUCCCGGGUUCAAGCGAUUCUCCUGCCUCAGCCUCCCGAGUAGCUGGGAUUACAAGUGUGCGCCACCACGCCUGGCUAAUUUUGUAUUUUUAGUAAGAUGGGGUUUCUCCAUGUUGGUCAGGCUGGUCUUGAACUCCCAUCAGUGGUCAUAUUUUUCAUCAGGGAAGGCAUAUCCAUGGGUUUUUCCAUGUGCAUGGGCAAAUGAGGGGCAGAGAUUAUUCUAGUUUUAAUGAAGACGUUCAAGAAGGCAAUGGCUUUGUGCUGGUUCUCAGUGGAGUAGUCUACAAAAGCAUACCAACAAGGAAAUUUCAUCUCAGCAAAGUUCUCUGUUUAGGGCAUGGCUGUCAAUCUGGAAACGGCAAAGCCACUACUGACGGUA